UUGGGUCCGGCAUAACCCCGGGAAACUGGGGAUAAUUCCGGAUAACGCACAUAUGCUGGAAUGCUUUAUGCGUAAAAUGGAUUCGUCUGCCCAAGGAUGGGUCUGCGGCCUAUCAGGUAGUANUGGGUGUAAUGUACCUACUAGCCAACAACGGGUACGGGUUGUGAGAGCAAGAGCCCGGAGAUGGAUUCUGAGACAUGAAUCCAGGCCCUACGGGGCGCAGCAGGCGCGAAAACUUUACAAUGCGGGAAACCGUNAUAAGGGGACACCGAGUGCCAGCAUCAUAUGCUGGCUGUCCGGGUGUGUAAAAUACACCCGUUAGCAAGGGCCGGGCAAGACCGGUGCCAGCCGCCGCGGUAACACCGGCGGCCCGAGUGGUGAUCGUGAUUAUUGGGUCUAAAGGGUCCGUAGCCGGUUUGGUCAGUCCUCCGGGAAAUCUGACGGCUCAACCGUUAGGCUUUCGGGGGAUACUGCCAGGCUUGGAACCGGGAGAGGUAAGAGGUACUACAGGGGUAGGAGUGAAAUCUUGUAAUCCCUGUGAGACCACCUGUGGCGAAGGCGUCUUACCAGAACGGGUUCGACGGUGAGGGACGAAAGCUGGGGGCACGAACCGGAUUAGAUACCCGGGUAGUCCCAGCCGUAAACGAUGCUCGCUAGGUGUCAGGCAUGGCGCGACCGUGUCUGGUGCCGCAGGGAAGCCGUGAAGCGAGCCACCUGGGAAGUACG
RNAcentral lists this ribosomal RNA (726 nucleotides) under uncultured euryarchaeote. Its description in RNAcentral is "bacterial SSU rRNA". It matches the Rfam family "Archaeal small subunit ribosomal RNA", at positions 115 to 839 of the family's 1478-position model. The record is from RNAcentral. Lineage: Archaea; Methanobacteriati; Methanobacteriota.